CAGUAACGGCGAGUGAAGCGGCAACAGCUCAAAUUUGAAAUCUGGCUCCUUCGGGGUCCGAAUUGUAAUUUGUAGAGAGUGCUUCGGGCGAGACCUCGGUCUAAGUCCAUUGGAACAUGGUGUCAUAGAGGGUGAGAAUCCCGUAUGCGACCGUGGCUCGAGCCCAUGUGAAGCCUCUUCGACGAGUCGAGUUGUUUGGGAAUGCAGCUCAAAAUGGGUGGUAAAUUUCAUCUAAAGCUAAAUACUGGCUGGAGACCGAUAGCGCACAAGUAGAGUGAUCGAAAGAUGAAAAGCACUUUGGAAAGAGAGUCAAACAGUACGUGAAAUUGUUGAAAGGGAAGCGCUUGCAACCAGACCUGCCCGUAGGCGAUCAGCCGCUGUUCUCAGCGGUGUACUCGCUCUGCGAUCAGGCCAGCAUCGGUUUCGGCGGUCGGAUAAAGGCCUUGGGAAUGUAGCUUCCCUUCGGGGGAGUCUUAUAGCCCUCGGUGCAAUGCGGCCAGCCGGGACCGAGGACCGCGCUUCGGCUAGGAUGCUGGCGUAAUGGUUGUAAGCGACCCGUCUUGAAACACGGACCAAGGAGUCUAACAUCUAUGCGAGUGUUUGGGUGUCAAACCCAUACGCGGAAUGAAAGUGAACGGAGGUGAGAACCCUUAAGGGCGCAUCAUCGACCGAUCCAGAUGUCUUCGGAUGGAUUUGAGUAUGAGCAUAGCUGUUGGGACCCGAAAGAUGGUGAACUAUGCCUGAAUAGGGUGAAGCCAGAGGAAACUCUGGUGGAGGCUCGCAGCGGUUCUGACGUGCAAAUCGAUCGUCAAAUUUGGGUAUAGGGGCGAAAGACUAAUC
RNAcentral lists this ribosomal RNA (840 nucleotides) under Xanthoparmelia chlorochroa. Its description in RNAcentral is "eukaryotic LSU rRNA". It matches the Rfam family "Eukaryotic large subunit ribosomal RNA", at positions 81 to 936 of the family's 3401-position model. RNAcentral also lists the same sequence under 1 other name. The record is from RNAcentral. Lineage: Eukaryota; Fungi; Ascomycota; Lecanoromycetes; Lecanorales; Parmeliaceae.